This 620-nucleotide ribosomal RNA is filed under the name Escherichia coli. RNAcentral describes it as "partial 23S ribosomal RNA". It matches the Rfam family "Bacterial large subunit ribosomal RNA", at positions 1135 to 1756 of the family's 2925-position model. Lineage: Bacteria; Pseudomonadati; Pseudomonadota; Gammaproteobacteria; Enterobacterales; Enterobacteriaceae. The record is from RNAcentral.
UAAUAGCUCACUGGUCGAGUCGGCCUGCGCGGAAGAUGUAACGGGGCUAAACCAUGCACCGAAGCUGCGGCAGCGACGCUUAUGCGUUGUUGGGUAGGGGAGCGUUCUGUAAGCCUGCGAAGGUGUACUGUGAGGUAUGCUGGAGGUAUCAGAAGUGCGAAUGCUGACAUAAGUAACGAUAAAGCGGGUGAAAAGCCCGCUCGCCGGAAGACCAAGGGUUCCUGUCCAACGUUAAUCGGGGCAGGGUGAGUCGACCCCUAAGGCGAGGCCGAAAGGCGUAGUCGAUGGGAAACAGGUUAAUAUUCCUGUACUUGGUGUUACUGCGAAGGGGGGACGGAGAAGGCUAUGUUGGCCGGGCGACGGUUGUCCCGGUUUAAGCGUGUAGGCUGGUUUUCCAGGCAAAUCCGGAAAAUCAAGGCUGAGGCGUGAUGACGAGGCACUACGGUGCUGAAGCAACAAAUGCCCUGCUUCCAGGAAAAGCCUCUAAGCAUCAGGUAACAUCAAAUCGUACCCCAAACCGACACAGGUGGUCAGGUAGAGAAUACCAAGGCGCUUGAGAGAACUCGGGUGAAGGAACUAGGCAAAAUGGUGCCGUAACUUCGGGAGAAGGCACGCUGAUA